UGGGGUAUCUUGCACAAUGGGGGCAACCCUGAUGCAGCGACGCCGCGUGAGCGAUGAAGGUUUUCGAAUCGUAAAGCUCUGUCCUAUGGGAAGAUAAUGACGGUACCAUAGGAGGAAGCCCCGGCUAACUACGUGCCAGCAGCCGCGGUAAUACGUAGGGGGCGAGCGUUGUCCGGAAUUACUGGGCGUAAAGGGUUCGCAGGCGGCCUGGCAAGUCCGAUGUAAAAGGCGAAGGCUCAACCUUCGUAAGCAUCGGAAACUGUCAAGCUUGAGUGAAGGAGAGGCAAGUGGAAUUCCUAGUGUAGCGGUGGAAUGCGUAGAUAUUAGGAGGAAUACCGGUGGCGAAGGCGACUUUCUGGACUUUUACUGACGCUCAGGUACGAAAGCGUGGGGAGCAAACAGG
Molecule: ribosomal RNA, 403 nt
Filed under: Verrucomicrobiota bacterium
Lineage: Bacteria; Pseudomonadati; Verrucomicrobiota
Description: Verrucomicrobia bacterium partial 16S ribosomal RNA
Rfam family: Bacterial small subunit ribosomal RNA
Source: RNAcentral